UGGGGAAUAUUGCACAAUGGGCGCAAGCCUGAUGCAGCCAUGCCGCGUGUGUGAAGAAGGCCUUCGGGUUGUAAAGCACUUUCAGCGAGGAGGAAGGGUAGUGUGUUAAUAGCACAUUGCAUUGACGUUACUCGCAGAAGAAGCACCGGCUAACUCCGUGCCAGCAGCCGCGGUAAUACGGAGGGUGCAAGCGUUAAUCGGAAUUACUGGGCGUAAAGCGCACGCAGGCGGUUUGUUAAGUCAGAUGUGAAAUCCCCGCGCUUAACGUGGGAACUGCAUUUGAAACUGGCAAGCUAGAGUCUUGUAGAGGGGGGUAGAAUUCCAGGUGUAGCGGUGAAAUGCGUAGAGAUCUGGAGGAAUACCGGUGGCGAAGGCGGCCCCCCUGGACAAAGACUGACGCUCAGGUGCGAAAGCGUG
This 417-nucleotide ribosomal RNA is filed under the name uncultured bacterium. Its description in RNAcentral is "partial 16S ribosomal RNA". It matches the Rfam family "Bacterial small subunit ribosomal RNA", at positions 355 to 763 of the family's 1533-position model. The record is from RNAcentral.